UAGUAAUACAAGGCAGACGGCUCAGUAACACGUAGACACCUAACUUAUGGACGGGGAUAACCUCGGGAAACUGAGAAUAAUACCCGAUAGGUCAUGAUGCCUGGAAUGGUUUAUGACUCAAAUAAUUUAUUGCCGUAGGAUGGGACUGCGAGCUAUCAGCUUGUUGGUGAGGUAAUGGCCCACCAAGGCUAUUACAGCUACGGGCUCUGAGAGGAGUAGCCCGGAGAUGGGUACUGAGACAAGGACCCAGGCCCUAUGGGGCGCAGCAGGCGAGAAAACUUUGCAAUGCGCGAAAGCUCGACAAGGUUAAUCUGAGUGGUUCCUGCUAAAGGAACCUUUUGUUAGUCGUAGAACCACUGAUGAAUAAGGGGUGGGCAAGUUCUGGUGUCAGCCGCCGCGGUAAAACCAGCACCUCAAGUGGUCAGGAUGAUUAUUGGGCCUAAAGCAUCCGUAGCCUGUUCUGUAAGUUUUCGGUUAAAUCCAUAAGCUCAACUUAUGGGCUGCCGAAAAUACUGCAGAACUAGGGAGUGGGAGAGGUAGACGGUACUCGGUAGGAAGGGGUAAAAUCCUUUGAUCUAUUGAUGACCACCUGUGGCGAAGGCGGUCUACCAGAACACGUUCGACGGUGAGGGAUGAAGGCUGGGGGAGCAAACCGGAUUAGAUACCCGGGUAGUCCCAGCUGUAAACGAU
This 690-nucleotide ribosomal RNA is filed under the name uncultured marine archaeon. RNAcentral describes it as "bacterial SSU rRNA". It matches the Rfam family "Archaeal small subunit ribosomal RNA", at positions 69 to 761 of the family's 1478-position model. The record is from RNAcentral.